CCACUGCUGAGGAGUCCCACAAUAGGACGAAACGACUGUCAAGUGC
RNAcentral lists this non-coding RNA (46 nucleotides) under Schistosoma margrebowiei. The record is from RNAcentral. Lineage: Eukaryota; Metazoa; Platyhelminthes; Trematoda; Strigeidida; Schistosomatidae.